AGUGAACGCUGGCGGUAGGCCUAACACAUGCAAGUCGAACGGCAGCACAGUAAGAGCUUGCUCUUACGGGUGGCGAGUGGCGGACGGGUGAGGAAUACAUCGGAAUCUACUUUUUCGUGGGGGAUAACGCAGGGAAACUUACGCUAAUACAGCAUACGACCUACGGGUGAAAGCAGGGGAUCUUCGGACCUUGCGCGAUUGAAUGAGCCGAUGUCGGAUUAGCUAGUUGGCGGGGUAAGGGCCCACCAAGGCGACGAUCCGUAGCUGGUCUGAGAGGAUGAUCAGCCACACUGGAACUGAGACACGGUCCAGACUCCUACGGGAGGCAGCAGUGGGGAAUAUUGGACAAUGGGCGCAAGCCUGAUCCAGCCAUACCGCGUGGGUGAAGAAGGCCUUCGGGUUGUAAAGCCCUUUUGUUGGGAAAGAAAAGCAGCAGGUUAAUACCCCGCUGUUCUGACGGUACCCAAAGAAUAAGCACCGGCUAACUUCGUG
RNAcentral lists this ribosomal RNA (492 nucleotides) under uncultured bacterium. Its description in RNAcentral is "partial 16S ribosomal RNA". It matches the Rfam family "Bacterial small subunit ribosomal RNA", at positions 29 to 507 of the family's 1533-position model. The record is from RNAcentral.